AUUGCGUGUGAGGAUGCUGGAGGUGGAGGUUUAUAGCCUUUUCUCACUACACUUGAUAAAAUUAAACUUAUCAAUUUAAUGGCAGAUCCAGAGAGGUUCAAACAACAAUCACCAGUGACAACAGAUUCACCUGCUGUAAAAUGCAAAAGACAGCAUGACAGAUUUUUGAUCAUGAGAGAGGGAUGAGGAUAUCACCCCUGCACUGGGCUCGCUCUCCUGUCUCUGGGUCCACUUUACUGUCUAGAUCUGACAGAGAAAAGAAAAGUAUAUAUAUAAAAAAUGAUCCUUUACAAAAUAUGUAUCAUGCAUAUGGUGAUCACUUUACAUCACUGCCAGAGCCACUGUCUGCUUCUCUUACCCAUGAUCGUGUUGCUGGAGGACAGGCACCGUUGCUGGUUAAUAAGGCUAAUGUUGGAAGGUCCCAGAUUGUCUGAUAUUGUUGAUCCCGCAGUUUGGAAAGGAGGGUCCUGCCUGGGACGGGGGUUCACCAUUGGUAUUCACAUGUUCUCCAGUGGCCUACAGUGGGCACGAGCGUGCUCCUGCAGCCUGUUCAUUGUGGUUGACAAAACAAGUGCGUUACAUAAUUUAAGUUGUAACUUCCGACAGGCAGCUGGCACAAUGAAAAGAUAAUAUUAUUCGCAAUUCAACAAAAUACAAAAAUGCACCCAAGAUUAAAAACUAUAAUCGAGCCGAGGGUAAAAGCAGACUGUCUACGAUGUCUUGCAUGCCACCAUACUUUUCUCUUCAGAAGCACAUUUUUUAUUAUAUUUUUUCAACUGGUUAUUAUACAUGUCAUGGGUUUUAAUUGCUUGUAUGAAUUAAUUAAUAGUUGUUAAACCAAGUUCUGUCAUUGGUCUUCUUACCAUUGCACAUGUUUCUCUUCAGCUUUCUAAACGGGCAGUUCUCUAUGGGCUGAAAUAUGUGCCACCAGAAACUGAAUUUGAACCAUUUAUAUUUGAAUUUGAAUGGCUAAACUUGAAUAAUUGCAUUGAAAAACUGAAUUUAAAUCACAUCAUUUAAAAUUGUAUUGUUUAAUUAAAAUUGAAUUUAUUCAAAAACUGAAUCUGAAUUGUAUGAUUUGAAAUUGAAUUUAUUUGGAACUGAAGUCCAAUAAAAUUUGAUCCUCACUGAAAAUUAAACAGACAUCCGGGUAGUUGGAGGGUGAAGGAAGAGCAAUCGAGCGCAGAUAGAUAGAUAGCGUUCAUUGGCACACAGGACUCCUUUGGGCGGUAAUGCUCUUUUUAAGAAUGCGAACCGCCAAUAAGCUCAAAGAAGAAGAAGAAGAAGGACUCCUUUGGCCAAUCAGCACCAAUGUUUUGGAGCACACAGUAUGUUACCCGCCAUGAAACAAAGAAGUGCUUCGGCGACCACUAUUCGGCUGGGACAAAUACGACAGGGAAGGAGUCAGGAAAGAGGGAGAGAUGGCCGACCCAGUGUCCACACAGAAAUGACAAGGUUCUUCACUGUAUUUGGUUUCUUUGUCAGACUGACUCAUCCCUUACAUUCAUCAAUUUAAAUUCUCAAACUAUAGCUAGUGAAAUAUGUAUUUGCAUUGUGUAAUGUCAAAUUAAUAAAUUAACAUCACAGGUCUUUUCCUGCCCUUUUUGAAGCUAGGGGAAAGCGCCGGCGCGUUCAAGGGCCUUCCAACCACUUUACACCAGUCAAAGAGAUAGAAGUUACAUUUUAUCUCUUACCCAAAAUUGUUGAGCGCACUCCCAAAGGCAGUGAAGAAGUUUUCCAUCUGCAAGCUGGUUUGGGACGCAGGUCCACGCUGAUACCAGAGAACUACACCCGUGAUGAGCCUAUGGAGGAAGAUGGGUUUUUUGUGUCCUCAAAGACAGAGUUGCAGACCAAUCUGUGGCCAUAAUUUUCCUCCCGAUGACCUGGAGGAACAUGCAAGCGAGUGUGGAGAGAGAUGUGUCUUUUUAAGGUUGAGUCGGCCACGGAGUCUACAAUGACUGAACUGAUUGAGGACAUUUUGAGCUGUGGCUAUAAUGAACCUGUUAAUGUUGAAAAGAGGGAAGAUAUUCUUCGUGCUGUUGUUCUUCAUGCCAUACUUCGGCUGCUGCCCCUUCUCUCCCAGCUACGUGAAGGUCUGAAACUUUAUGGUUUUGUCGAUCUAAUGAAACAAAACCUAAACAUCUGCCAACCACUCUUUGUCCCCGGGAUGGAGGUAAAGGUGAGUUAAUAAAUGUGGACUUUAGUAGGGAUGUACUGAUGCCACUUUUACUAACAAUAGUGAUUCCAAUUCCUAAACUCAGCUUAUUUCAUGUACCAAUCAUGCCAUUUACUUCAACUUUUUUUGUAUAGAUUUUGUGGGGUCACUGGACAAUAAUAAUGAAGAUAUUAAAGUUAAAGGUCCACGAUGCAGAAUUGUCCUAAAAAAACGAUGUAUAGUAUGACCCCCAACUGGUGUGAGGUGGUUUAUUUAUCUACAGAGAAUACUGCCUUCUGCCGGUAUUUUCUGGUUUUCUUAUUAUGUUGCUGUGUUUGGGACAUUUCUGUGUCAACCUUUGGGCAGUGGGUGUGUAGCCCACAGCCAGCAUGUGUGAGGUUGGGACUCAUAGCAUAGCAACCAGGUAACGUAAUUGUUUUUGUGCAGCUAACUCGCCCACUACUGCUCUCUCUUUCUGGAUAAACUCAUAACUGUCUUUGUGGCUUGCCAACCUGAGUUCAGCGAGAAGGGCUCCAACAAAGGACAGGUGGAAGUGAGUGUUAUGAACCAUCUCCAGGACUUCUUGCAGCUGGAAGCAUGUGUACAUCCAGAGGUGGGUGGAGACACAGUAGACUAUCUCACAGGACAGGGCCACAUUCCUGUCUUACCAGAAGAGAAGAGAAACUUCAGAGUCUUUGUGCAGUUCAAUCACACCUGUGACAUCCAGUAUGGUUCACAUAGAGUUUGCAUGUAGUAAUACAAUCCACCUACCUGUUAAGCAUAUGCAAACUUUUACUGAGUUCAAACAAGUGAUGAUCAGGCAUUCCAUCAGGUUUAAGUGAGAUGUUGCAGUUUCAAAUAUUCAGUGCUAAUUAGAUCACUGAAUGUUUUUCUUUCAUUGUUCAAGUACAAUGCAUAUACAUUCAGACAAAUAAUAAUAGAUAAGAUAUUUGUGCAAGUCCAGUUUGUAUCCCAAGUUAUACUUCAAUGUAUCAAGUAAGACACUCCCUGUGGCUGUGUCAGUUUGACAGAAGUCCAAUAAAUACAAAAUCUUUGGAAGCAAAAUACAACAUUGUGGCAUUACUUUGAAACUAGUCCACCUUCCACUCACAGUGAAGUGAUUGAAACCAAUGUCCUCUGUCUUCAAUGGACAUUCCAUUUCUGGCACUGUAACACCUGUGUUGGCAGAGUUAUGAGAGAGCCCUGAGCUCUCCCAAUUAAUAUCCUCAAUCUGGAUUCCCUAAAACCAACAUAAAAUAGUGUUAUCAGUAUAUAGAUUGAAAAAUAAUUUAAAGGCAGACAAUGUCAUUGGCAUUAUCACUCAACUGCCACAUCUUCCUCUGGCUCGCGGAUGGGGUGCUGCAGCAUCCCGAGCUCCCACAGCUGGUUUGGGGUAAGGAAACCCUCUGUCCUGAUAGGAUGAGCGUUCCAUCCAGCAGAAAACUUGGCCAUAUCAGCUUUGAGUCUUGGGAGGAAGGUGUACUGAGCACAGAAGAGAUGGAGAUUAUCCAAGAUGUCAAGGGAUCCAUCUUCCUCCUGGCUGUGUAAUACGUCAUAGUAAACGUGAGUAACUCCUGUCCAAACAUCCCUCCACAGACGUUCGAUUCUACAA
Molecule: non-coding RNA, 3767 nt
Organism: Pimephales promelas (fathead minnow)
Lineage: Eukaryota; Metazoa; Chordata; Actinopteri; Cypriniformes; Leuciscidae
Source: RefSeq, a predicted model, not a curated record